RNAcentral lists this ribosomal RNA (557 nucleotides) under uncultured eubacterium WJGRT-71. Its description in RNAcentral is "bacterial SSU rRNA". It matches the Rfam family "Bacterial small subunit ribosomal RNA", at positions 47 to 587 of the family's 1533-position model. The record is from RNAcentral.
CCUAAUACAUGCAAGUCGAGCGAAGACGAGGAGCUUGCUCCUCUGACGUUAGCGGCGGUCGGGUGAGUAACAGCUGGAUAACCUACCUAUAAGACUGGGAUAACUUCGGGAAACCGGAGCUAAUACCGGAUAAUAUAUUUGAACCGCAUGGUUCAUUAGUGAAAGACGGUUUUGCUGUCACUUAUAGAUGGAUCCGCGCCGCAUUAGCUAGUUGCUAAGGUAACGGCUUACCAAGGCAACGAUGCGUAGCCGACCUGAGAGGGUGAUCGGCCACACUGGAACUGAGACACGGUCCAGACUCCUACGGGAGGCAGCAGUAGGGAAUCUUCCGCAAUGGGCGAAAGCCUGACGGAGCAACGCCGCGUGAGUGAUGAAGGUCUUCGGAUCGUAAAACUCUGUUAUUAGGGAAGAACAAAUGUGUAAGUAACUAUGCACGUCUUGACGGUACCUAAUCAGAAAGCCACGGCUAACUACGUGCCAGCAGCCGCGGUAAUACGUAGGUGGCAAGCGUUAUCCGGAAUUAUUGGGCGUAAAGCGCGCGUAGGCGGUUUUUUAAG